CCUACGGUAGGCAGCAGUGGGGGAUAUUGCACAAUGGGGGAAACCCUGAUGCAGCGACGCCGCGUGGGUGAAGAAGGGCCUCGGCGCGUAAAGCCCUGUCAGCAGGGAAGAAAAUGACGGUACCUGAAGAAGAAGCCCCGGCUAACUACGUGCCAGCAGCCGCGGUAAUACGUAGGGGGCAAGCUGUAUCCGGAUUUACUGGGUGUAACGGGGGCGCAGACGGCGAUGCAAGCCAGGAGUGAAAGCCGGGGGCCCAACCCCGGGACUGCGCUUGGAACUGCGUGGCUAGAGUGCAGGAGGGGCAGGCGGAAUUCCUGGUGUAGCGGUGAAAUGCGUAGAUAUCAGGAGGAACACCGGUGGCGAAGGCGGCCUGCUGGACUGCAACUGACGUUGAGGCCCGAAAGCGUGGGGAGCAAACAGGAUUAGAUACCCCAGUAGUC
Molecule: ribosomal RNA, 440 nt
Filed under: uncultured bacterium
Lineage: Bacteria
Description: partial 16S ribosomal RNA
Rfam family: Bacterial small subunit ribosomal RNA
Source: RNAcentral